Molecule: ribosomal RNA, 611 nt
Filed under: Candida tropicalis
Lineage: Eukaryota; Fungi; Ascomycota; Pichiomycetes; Serinales; Debaryomycetaceae
Description: eukaryotic LSU rRNA
Rfam family: Eukaryotic large subunit ribosomal RNA
Source: RNAcentral
UGCAUAUCAAUAAGCGGAGGAAAAGAAACCAACAGGGAUUGCCUUAGUAGCGGCGAGUGAAGCGGCAAAAGCUCAAAUUUGAAAUCUGGCUCUUUCAGAGUCCGAGUUGUAAUUUGAAGAAGGUAUCUUUGGGUCUGGCUCUUGUCUAUGUUUCUUGGAACAGAACGUCACAGAGGGUGAGAAUCCCGUGCGAUGAGAUGAUCCAGGCCUAUGUAAAGUUCCUUCGAAGAGUCGAGUUGUUUGGGAAUGCAGCUCUAAGUGGGUGGUAAAUUCCAUCUAAAGCUAAAUAUUGGCGAGAGACCGAUAGCGAACAAGUACAGUGAUGGAAAGAUGAAAAGAACUUUGAAAAGAGAGUGAAAAAGUACGUGAAAUUGUUGAAAGGGAAGGGCUUGAGAUCAGACUUGGUAUUUUGUAUGUUACUUCUUCGGGGGUGGCCUCUACAGUUUAUCGGGCCAGCAUCAGUUUGGGCGGUAGGAGAAUUGCGUUGGAAUGUGGCACGGCUUCGGUUGUGUGUUAUAGCCUUCGUCGAUACUGCCAGCCUAGACUGAGGACUGCGGUUUAUACCUAGGAUGUUGGCAUAAUGAUCUUAAGUCGCCCGUCUUGAAACACGG